GGGGCGGGACAAAGGAAGCGCGCCCUCGCCUCGUGCGCUCCCCCACGCCUUCAGGCUGAGGUUUCCACGUAAUGGUGGAGUUUCAGGGCGGCCAAGCCAGAAAGCCAUGCCGAGGUCCUCCCGCGUGCUUCGCAGGAGCUCCGGCGCAGAGGACGUAGGGAGAAAAGGUUCCCUCAACCUCUGCCUCCUUCGUGGGGCUCCUACCACGACCACCCGCGCGCCCGCUUCCCAAGCCUGACGAGCCCCGGGCCCCGCGAUUCUAAGACAUGACUGGAAAGCCCUGCUUCUGUUGGAAGCUACUGCGGCUGAGGUAUCCACAAGUAAGUAAUGUGAUGUAUUGAUGACCCUCCCCAAGAAUGAAGACCCCAAGUUAGAGCCCCUGGUUGCCUUGUCUCCCAGAACUAAAUACUCUUACAGUGAACUCGUCUCUGGGAGGUAUACCAGGUGUUACCUUGACUAUUUACAGCAUGAGGAGACCUAAUAGCAUUUCAAAUCCAAAACAUUAUUCUGUACCUGUGUCUGAACUUCUCCCUGCCGCUACUCAAGCAACAACUAAGAAGUAAUAUAUUUCCCAGGCCCUCUAAUAACACCUUCCUACGUUUGUUUGGAGAAUGCUUUUCAUUUGACUCCACCAGAAAUUAUGUAAAUACAUUUACUUUUAGUUCAAAACAAAUUAAUCUUGGGUAAUUUCACAUUGCACUUCAGAGAUUUGCCUUUAUCAGGCAACCCACAGAUGAGAAAAUCAUUCCUUACCCACAAACGCUUUAUGCUGCUGAGAAUCUCUGCCUGGCACUUUUCUACUAACCACAUUGUUGCCUAAUGAGAUAUAGACUGUAACAAAAAAGACAGAUAGUCCCUAACUACUUCCUAUCAAAAUCCCAAAGAGCCUGUGCCUUACUAAAUCUGGCUUAAACCUCUAGUUUUCCUAACCCAAAACAUUUAAAAGGAACUAUAGUAGCAAGUCCAAGUAAUUCAGUUUGUUAGCUGUAUCACCUCUCCCUCCUGUCUCUUUGGAACAGUGUUACAGAUAGAGCUGCUCUGUCCCAAAAGAAAACCAUCAUCUUAUUAAAUGGGGGGAGGGGCACAAGCAACAGGAGUACAUAAAAUGUCAUAUUUCAUUUCUGAAGACAAAGGAAGCAAACAGUGUAUAACGUGAAGAGAACCAGUAGGGAAAGACACUUAGAAAGGCACAAAACAUGUAGUCACUGUUAGUUAUUGUUAUAUCCUUAAAGAAGAGCUAAUGGUCUAAAAAUAAAGACUCAUAUAAUCAC
This is a long non-coding RNA of Heterocephalus glaber (naked mole-rat), 1271 nucleotides long. Lineage: Eukaryota; Metazoa; Chordata; Mammalia; Rodentia; Bathyergidae. The record is from Ensembl.